This is a ribosomal RNA of Echinicola vietnamensis DSM 17526, 2898 nucleotides long. It matches the Rfam family "Bacterial large subunit ribosomal RNA". Lineage: Bacteria; Pseudomonadati; Bacteroidota; Cytophagia; Cytophagales; Cyclobacteriaceae. The record is from Rfam.
GAGCAAGUGAACAAGGGCGCACGGGGGAUGCCUAGGCUCUCAGAGGCGAAGAAGGACGUGCCAAGCUGCGAAAAGCUGCGGGGAUCGGCACAGGCGACAUGAUCCGCAGAUGUCCGAAUGGGGCAACCCAUCCCGAUAGAUCGGGAUAUCCAUAUAAAUGGAGGCGAACGUGGGGAACUGAAACAUCUAAGUACCCAUAGGAGGAGAAAACAACAGUGAUUCCGUGAGUAGUGGCGAGCGAAAGCGGAGCAGCCCAAACCGUACAUGUUACGGCAUGUACGGGGUAAUAGGACCUGCACAAACUUUGUACAACGAACGUGAACCGUCUGGGAAGUCGGGCCAUAGCGGGUGAAAGCCCCGUAACGGAAAGUUUUACAAAGUGGCGGGUAUCCUGAGUAGGCCGGGACAGGAGAAAUCCCGGUUGAAUUUGCCGGCACCAUCCGGUAAGGCUAAAUACUCCUGAGAGACCGAUAGUGAACAAGUACCGUGAGGGAAAGGUGAAAAGUACCGUGAACAACGGGGUGAAACAGAACCUGAAACCGUGCGCCUACAAGCGGUCGGAGUCCGCCGCAAGGUCGGAUGACGGCGUGCCUUUUGCAUAAUGAGCCUACGAGUUGCUCCUCACUGGCGAGGGUAAGGCAUUAAGUGCCGUACCCGGAGCGAAAGCGAGUCUGAACAGGGCGUAUAGUCAGUGGGGGCAGACGCGAAACCUGGUGAUCUACCCAUGGGCAGGUUGAAGCUCCGGUAAAACGGAGUGGAGGACCGAACCGAUAAGCGUUGAAAAGCUUCCGGAUGACCUGUGGGUAGGGGUGAAAGGCCAAUCAAACCGGGAAAUAGCUCGUACUCCCCGAAAUGUUUUUAGGAACAGCGUCAGGGAACGUAUUACGGAGGUAGAGCUACCGAUAGGACUAGGGGGAGUCACAUCCUACCAAAUCCUGACGAACUCCGAAUGCCGUGAUACGGUACUGGCAGUGAGGGCUGGGGUGCUAAGGUCCCAGUCCGAGAGGGAAAGAACCCGGACCUUCCGCUAAGGUCCCCAAAUAUGUGCUAAGUUGAACAAAGGUGGUCCAGUUGCCGAGACAGCCAGGAGGUUAGCUUGGAAGCAGCUAUUCCUUUAAAGAGUGCGUAACAGCUCACUGGUCGAGCGGCAGGGCGUCGAUGAUAAUCGGGCAUCAAGCACAUUACCGAAGCGAAGGACUGUACGAAGUACAGUGGUAGGGGAGCAUUCCAACAGCGGCAAAGGGACAUCGUAAGGUGUUCUGGAGCGGUUGGAAAAGCAAAUGUAGGCAUAAGUAACGAUAAGGCGGGCGAGAAACCCGCCCACCGAUAGACCAAGGUUUCCUGAUCAACGCUAAUCGGAUCAGGGUCAGUCGGGACCUAAGGCGAACCCGAAAGGGGCAGUCGAUGGACAACGGGUCAAUAUUCCCGUACCGUACAUACAGGUGAAGGAGGGACGGAGCGAUGAAAGUCCCGCCCGGUGACGGAAUACCGGGUUGAAGGGUGUAGGUAUUGGAGGUACAGUCAAAUGCGUACCUUUAGCCGAACCUGAGAGUACCGCAAUCCUUCGGGAGCGCGGAUAGCGGACCUAAGGACUUCCAAGAAAAUCUUCUAGCGUCAAGCGUAUGUACGCCCGUACCGCAAACCGACACAGGUGGUCAAGGAGAGAAUCCUGAGGUGCUCGAGUGAAUCAUGGCCAAGGAACUCGGCAAAAUGGCCCUGUAACUUCGGGAGAAGGGGCGCCUACUCGCCUGAAGGCGAGAGGCCGCAGUGAAAAGGCCCAGGCGACUGUUUAUCAAAAACACAUGGCUUUGCGAAGUGGAGACACAAAGUAUAAGGCCUGACACCUGCCCGGUGCCGGAAGGUUAAGGGGGGGCGUUAUCCCGGUUUAUAUCGGGAGAAGCGCUGAACUGAAGCCCCGGUAAACGGCGGCCGUAACUAUAACGGUCCUAAGGUAGCGAAAUUCCUUGUCGGGUAAGUUCCGACCUGCACGAAUGGUGUAACGAUCUGGGCACUGUCUCGGCCAUGAGCUCGGUGAAAUUGUAGUCGCGGUGAAGAUGCCGCGUACCCGCAACGGGACGGAAAGACCCCAUGAACCUUUACUGCAGCUUAGCAUUGGCAUUGGGCAAACAAUGUGUAGGAUAGGCCGGAGGCCGUGAAGGGGCGUCGCCAGGCGUUCCGGAGCCACUGUUGAAAUACGGCCCUUUGUUUGUCCGGUGUCUAACCCGCCAGAGGCGGGGACAUUGCUUGGUGGGUAGUUUGACUGGGGUGGUCGCCUCCAAAAGGAUAACGGAGGCUUCCAAAGGUUCCCUCAGCACGCUUGGUAACCGUGCGCGGAGUGCAAUAGCAUAAGGGAGCUUGACUGCGAGGCCGACAAGCCGAGCAGGGUGGAAACACGGGUAUAGUGAUCCGGCGGUACCGUAUGGAAGGGCCGUCGCUCAAAGGAUAAAAGGUACUCUGGGGAUAACAGGCUGAUCUCCCCCAAGAGCUCAUAUCGACGGGGAGGUUUGGCACCUCGAUGUCGGCUCGUCACAUCCUGGGGCUGGAGAAGGUCCCAAGGGUUGGGCUGUUCGCCCAUUAAAGUGGCACGCGAGCUGGGUUCAGAACGUCGUGAGACAGUUCGGUCCCUAUCUGUUGCGGGCGUGGGAAACUUGAGAGGAUCUGACCUUAGUACGAGAGGACCGGGUUGGACGGACCGCUGGUGUACCGGUUGUGGUGCCAACUGCACUGCCGGGUAGCUACGUCCGGAAGGGAUAAGCGCUGAAAGCAUCUAAGUGCGAAACCCACCUCGAGAUGAGGUUUCCGUACAGGGUUGUCAUAGACGAUGACGUUGAUAGGCUGCAGGUGUAAAGCCGGAGACGGCAUAGCUGAGCAGUACUAAUAGCCCGAAAGCUUGCCUGU